CUCCUCCAUAAAUCCAAUGACACUCAAUUUUUUGAAAACUCAUCCAAUGCAGUAAUCAGUAGUUGUAAGUAUCUAUGUGCAUCAACUCCCUAGUGGUCUCCCUCUCAAAAUCUAUGCUAUGCUCUUGGAAGACCAAAGUCAGAACUAUGCUGAAGGUAAGGAUACCUUCAACUAGUUCGCAGCAUCGUGCAUUAGCCCAAUCAU
RNAcentral lists this long non-coding RNA (204 nucleotides) under Elaeis guineensis (African oil palm). RNAcentral's name for it is "long non-coding RNA (EGUI_LNC059244)". Lineage: Eukaryota; Viridiplantae; Streptophyta; Magnoliopsida; Arecales; Arecaceae. The record is from RNAcentral.